Molecule: long non-coding RNA, 1825 nt
Filed under: Citrus sinensis (sweet orange)
Lineage: Eukaryota; Viridiplantae; Streptophyta; Magnoliopsida; Sapindales; Rutaceae
Description: long non-coding RNA (CSIN_LNC002871)
Source: RNAcentral
UUGUUGUUGCGAUGGGUUCCGGGUUGCGUUCGUGUACGCAAGUAAAAGACUUUACGGAACGGUUUCUUGGUAUCCUGAUAUUACUGAUUGGCGUGCGUUUAACGUUUGAGAAAAACAAAGGUGACGAGAAAGAGCGGCGACUUGUGUUUAGGGUUGAUGAAAGUUUCAGGCUCAUGUUUAGAUGAGGAGGAAGUGGAAGUGAAGAAAAUUAAUUUAAGUAAAAACAAAGGGCGAGGAGUAGAGCAAGCAAAUGGGAAAGAUCCUUAAACUGCGCCGACUUUUGUCUGUGUCUUUGAGAAAGUUGUUCUCUAUUCUAUAUAUAGGUAACAGAAAUACAUCGCGCCAAAAAUAGAUCACGUCAUAGUCGUGUUCCGAUACAACCACGUCUGCCAAAAUUUAGGGGGCAAUGGAAGUGUACUGUUUUUUUUCCCCUUUUUUUACCACAAAUUUAUGGUGAAACUCGAAACUUUUCACCUAAUAAAUGAAGGAAAAGUUAUCUGAAAAUAUUUAAAAAAAAAGUAUAUGUAUCUACGACUUAAAAUUAAAAUAAUCUUUUAAUAGUAACAUAUGUGAAUGUUAAUUAACAAAUAAAUAAUAUUAAUGGAGGGGUAGAAUAUGGACGAAAGUGAAUCCGCAGAACCCGACUGCUAUUUUUUUUUCUAUUCUAUUAUGAAUAUUAAAGUAGAAGAAAAGAAAGCCAGGUCUGAGCAUCCUGGCGGCUGCUGUUGAAAUUGCUUUGUAUUGCCGGCUUAGUUCAGGUUGGGACAAAAGGGGAAGUGAUUGUAGUAAGAUAGUCCUGUAAAGAAUUCUUGGUUGUAUCAUAAUCAAACAGUUAUUUUGCUUUUUUUUUUUUGCUUUGCUUUUUUUUUUUUUUUUAUUACGUGAGAUUAUUGCUCGGAUUACAAUCCAGGCAUCCAUAGCCUUUGGAGCCCAGUUUCUACAUCUGAAUUAUCUCAAACGACUUUGUAGUUUGUAACAAAAUUAAAAGCUCAUGUACAACAAAGCAUCAGCUGCCAGCAGCCUGUAGGUGGAGGAAACAGGAUACAUGAUGACAUGAAUUGUGCCUCGAAGUACUAAAACAUAGAGACCAUCAAAGUCAAUUAAAGGCCAUUCACUAAUUAAAGCAAUUACAACCAGCAAAGACUUUCCCUUCUCGCUUCAUAACCAAACAGCGAGUCCUCUUCUGCAUAGCCAACAACACAUUCUGCCACGUGUUGACUCUGGACGCCCCCGCCUUGAUCCCAACAUGACUUACCCCAACACCAACGUUCAUCUCAGUCAAUUCCUCAGUCUUAAAGCCCAACACCUCCUCCGGCUCGGCCCCGUCGAGCACCAUUAUCAGGCACGAACAAAACCCUUUUGAAAUCUCUGAAUCACUGUCGGCUCUGAACCUCAUUCUUCCUCUCUCGUCCAUCACUACCUCAAGCCACACCUGCGUGGCGCAACCCGCCACCUUGUUCGCCUGCACGCGCCCUGAGUCGUCCAACCCCGGCAAGACCGCCGCGUAAUCUAACAGACGUUUGACCCGGUCAAUGGGUUCCGUUAAUGAAUCGAAUUCUGACACCAGCAGUUGAAGUUUAGUGCUUGUUGUUGCGAUGGGUUCCGGGUUGCGUUCGUGUACGCAAGUAAAAGACUUUACGGAACGGUUUCUUGGUAUCCUGAUAUUACUGAUUGGCGUGCGUUUAACGUUUGAGAAAAACAAAGGUGACGAGAAAGAGCGGCGACUUGUGUUUAGGGUUGAUGAAAGUUUCAGGCUCAUGUUUAGAUGAGGAGGAAGUGGAAGUGAAGAAAAUUAAUUUAAGUAAAAACAAAGGGCGAGGAGUAG